Molecule: signal recognition particle RNA, 100 nt
Filed under: Thermaceae bacterium
Lineage: Bacteria; Thermotogati; Deinococcota; Deinococci; Thermales; Thermaceae
Description: signal recognition particle sRNA small type
Rfam family: Bacterial small signal recognition particle RNA
About the family: The signal recognition particle (SRP) is a universally conserved ribonucleoprotein involved in the co-translational targeting of proteins to membranes.
Source: RNAcentral
UCUUCGGUCUGGCGCGGCGCACCAGCGCGAACCGGGUCAGGGUCGGAAGACAGCAGCCCUAAGUGCCACGGAGCGGGUGCCGCCAGGAAGCCGGAGACGC